UAACCUGCCCUUGGGUCCGGCAUAACCCCGGGAAACUGGGGAUAAUUCCGGAUAACGCAUAUAUGCUGGAAUGCUUUAUGCGUCAAAUGGAUUCGUCUGCCCAAGGAUGGGUCUGCGGCCUAUCAGGUAGUAGUGGGUGUAAUGUACCUACUAGCCGACGACGGGUACGGGUUGUGAGAGCAAGAGCCCGGAGAUGGAUUCUGAGACAUGAAUCCAGGCCCUACGGGGCGCAGCAGGCGCGAAAACUUUACAAUGCGGGAAACCGUGAUAAGGGGACACCGAGUGCCAGCAUCAUAUGCUGGCUGUCCGGGUGUGUAAAAUACACCCGUUAGCAAGGGCCGGGCAAGACCGGUGCCAGCCGCCGCGGUAACACCGGCGGCCCGAGUGGUGAUCGUGAUUAUUGGGUCUAAAGGGUCCGUAGCCGGUUUGGUCAGUCCUCCGGGAAAUCUGACGGCUUAACCGUUAGGCUUUCGGAGGAUACUGCCAGGCUUGGAACCGGGAGAGGUAAGAGGUACUACAGGGGUAGGAGUGAAAUCUUGUAAUCCCUGUGGGACCACCUGUGGCGAAGGCGUCUUACCAGA
This 581-nucleotide ribosomal RNA is filed under the name Methanosarcina sp. enrichment culture clone A08. RNAcentral's name for it is "bacterial SSU rRNA". It matches the Rfam family "Archaeal small subunit ribosomal RNA", at positions 105 to 684 of the family's 1478-position model. The record is from RNAcentral. Lineage: Archaea; Methanobacteriati; Methanobacteriota; Methanomicrobia; Methanosarcinales; Methanosarcinaceae.